This 366-nucleotide ribosomal RNA is filed under the name Euproctus platycephalus. RNAcentral's name for it is "partial 12S ribosomal RNA". It matches the Rfam family "Bacterial small subunit ribosomal RNA", at positions 794 to 1380 of the family's 1533-position model. Lineage: Eukaryota; Metazoa; Chordata; Amphibia; Caudata; Salamandridae. The record is from RNAcentral.
GCCUAGCCAUAAACUUUGAUUUAUCCGCCAGAAUACUACGAGCAACAGCUUAAAACUCAAAGGACUUGGCGGUGCUCUACACCCCCCUAGAGGAGCCUGUUCUAUAAUCGAUAAUCCUCGCUAAACCUCACCACCUAUUGCCAAUACAGCCUAUAUACCACCGUCCAGCCCACCCUUUAAGGGUAUAACAGUAGGCAUAACUACAAACAUAAAAACGUCAGGUCAAGGUGUAGCAAAUAAGAUGGGAAGAAAUGGGCUACAUUUUCUAGUAUAGAAAAACACGGAAAAGUUUCUGAAACAGAACUAUAAAGGAGGAUUUAGCAGUAAAAAGAAAAAAGAGUAUUCUUUUUAAACCGGCAAUGGAGC